This is a non-coding RNA of Lemur catta (Ring-tailed lemur), 478 nucleotides long. The record is from the annotation of a RefSeq genome assembly. Lineage: Eukaryota; Metazoa; Chordata; Mammalia; Primates; Lemuridae.
GGAUGAAGAGGGAAGGACAGACCUGGGGAAGCUGCUUCAGCUGCGGGCACAGAAGGCAGCACUCAGGACAGUCCCCACCAUGGCCUGGGCCCCUCUGCUCCUCACCCUCCUGGCUCACUGCACAGGGUCCUGGGCCCAGUCUGCGCUGACUCAGCCGCCCUCGGUGUCUGGAGCCCCGGGGCAGACGGUCACCAUCUCCUGCACGGGCAGCAGCAGCAACAUCGGGGAUGGGUAUGAUGUGAACUGGUACCAGCAGCUCCCAGGAACGGCCCCCAAACUCCUCAUCUACUAUGAUAGCAACAGACCCUCAGGGGUCCCUGCCCGAUUCUCUGGCUCCAAGUCUGACAGCUCGGCCUCCCUGACCAUCACGGGGCUCCAGGCUGAGGACGAGGCUGACUAUUACUGCCAGUCCUAUGACAGCAGCCUGGGUGCUCCACAGUGCUCCAGGCCCCCGGGGAAGUGAGACAAGAACCCCCUU